RNAcentral lists this ribosomal RNA (1070 nucleotides) under Acrocnida brachiata. Its description in RNAcentral is "SSU rRNA". It matches the Rfam family "Eukaryotic small subunit ribosomal RNA", at positions 536 to 1633 of the family's 1831-position model. The record is from RNAcentral. Lineage: Eukaryota; Metazoa; Echinodermata; Ophiuroidea; Amphilepidida; Amphiuridae.
AACGAGGAUCUACUGGAGGGCAAGUCUGGUGCCAGCAGCCGCGGUAAUUCCAGCUCCAGUGGCGUAUAUUAAUGCUGCUGCAGUUAAAAAGCUCGUAGUUGGAUCUAGGGCUCAGGCUAACGGUCCCUCGCAAGGGGUGCACUGUUUGUUCCUAGCCUCCCUCGCGUUGCGCCCGGUUCUCUUAGCUGAGUGCCGGGUGCGGCCGGAACGUUUACUUUGAAAAAAGGUUAGUGUUCAAAGCAGGCGCAACAGCCUGAACAGCAGAGCAUGGAAUAAUGGAAUAGGACCUCGGUUCUAUUGCGUUGGUUUUCGGAGUCCGAGGUAAUGAUUGAGAGGGACUGACGGGGGCAUUCGUAUUGCGGUGUGAGAGGUGAAAUUCUUGGAUCGCCGCAAGACGACCGACAGCGAAAGCAUUUGCCAAGAAUGUCUUCAUUAAUCAAGAACGAAAGUUAGAGGUUCGAAGGCGAUCAGAUACCGCCCUAGUUCUAACCAUAAACUAUGCCGACGGCGAUUCGCCGGCGUUACUCCAAUGACUCGGCUAGCAGCCCCCGGGAAACCAAAGUUUUUGGGUUCCGGGGGAAGUAUGGUUGCAAAGCUGAAACUUAAAGGAAUUGACGGAAGGGCACCACCAGGAGUGGAGCCUGCGGCUUAAUUUGACUCAACACGGGAAAACUCACCCGGCCCGGACACAGUAAGGAUUGACAGAUUGAGAGCUCUUUCUUGAUUCUGUGGGUGGUGGUGCAUGGCCGUUCUUAGUUGGUGGAGCGAUUUGUCUGGUUAAUUCCGAUAACGAACGAGACUCUGGCUUGCUAAAUAGUUGCGCCACCCGCCGCGGUGGGCGACAACUUCUUAGAGGGACUAGUGGCGUUUAGCCACGCGAGAUUGAGCAAUAACAGGUCUGUGAUGCCCUUAGAUGUUCGGGGCCGCACGCGCGCUACACUGAAGGAAUCAGCGUGUGUCUGCCCUUGGCCGGAAGGUCUGGGUAAUCCGUUGAACCUCUUUCGUGAUUGGGAUAGGGAAUUGUAAUUAUUUCCCUUGAACGAGGAAUUCCCAGUAAGCGCGAGUCAUCA